This 760-nucleotide ribosomal RNA is filed under the name uncultured Prevotella sp. RNAcentral describes it as "bacterial SSU rRNA". It matches the Rfam family "Bacterial small subunit ribosomal RNA", at positions 28 to 776 of the family's 1533-position model. Lineage: Bacteria; Pseudomonadati; Bacteroidota; Bacteroidia; Bacteroidales; Prevotellaceae. The record is from RNAcentral.
GAUGAACGCUGGCUACAGGCUUAACACAUGCAAGUCGAGGGGAAACGACGGGGAAGCUUGCUUCCCCGGGCGUCGACCGGCGCACGGGUGAGUAACGCGUAUCCAACCUGCCUCUGACUGAGGGAUAACCCGUCGAAAGUCGGCCUAAUACCUCAUGGCAUCGUCUGCGAGCAUCCAACGACGAUUAAAGAUUUCAUCGGUCAGGGAUGGGGAUGCGUCUGAUUAGCUUGUUGGCGGGGUAACGGCCCACCAAGGCUACGAUCAGUAGGGGUUCUGAGAGGAAGGUCCCCCACAUUGGAACUGAGACACGGUCCAAACUCCUACGGGAGGCAGCAGUGAGGAAUAUUGGUCAAUGGGCGAGAGCCUGAACCAGCCAAGUAGCGUGCAGGAAGACGGCCCUAUGGGUUGUAAACUGCUUUUAUGCGGGGAUAAAGUGAGGGACGUGUCCUUCAUUGCAGGUACCGCAUGAAUAAGGACCGGCUAAUUCCGUGCCAGCAGCCGCGGUAAUACGGAAGGUCCGGGCGUUAUCCGGAUUUAUUGGGUUUAAAGGGAGCGUAGGCCGUGGAUUAAGCGUGUUGUGAAAUGCAGGUGCUCAACGUCUGCACUGCAGCGCGAACUGGUCCACUAGAGUGUGCGCAACGCAGGCGGAAUUCGUCGUGUAGCGGUGAAAUGCUUAGAUAUGACGAAGAACUCCGAUUGCGAAGGCAGCUUGCGGGAGCACAACUGACGCUGAAGCUCGAAAGUGCGGGUAUCGAACAGG